This 255-nucleotide ribosomal RNA is filed under the name uncultured prokaryote. RNAcentral describes it as "partial 16S ribosomal RNA". It matches the Rfam family "Bacterial small subunit ribosomal RNA", at positions 524 to 776 of the family's 1533-position model. The record is from RNAcentral.
GACGAACCGUGCGAACGUUAUUCGGAAUCACUGGGCUUAAAGGGCGCGUAGGCGGAUCGGCGCAUCGGCUGCUGAAAGCCCCCGGCUCAACCGGGGAACGGGCACCGAGAUGGCCGUAUCUGGAGGCGAGGAGGGGGACCCGGAACUGCCGGUGGAGCGGUGAAAUGCGUUGAGAUCGGCAGGAACACCGACGGCGAAAGCAGGGUCCUGGACUCGUCCUGACGCUGAGGCGCGAAAGCCAGGGGAGCGAACGGG